CAGCCCUGUAGGAGACACCUCCAGAGAAAGUAACAGCUCUCAAUUGAUUAGCUGAGGAGACCGAUUUUGUAAAUCACUACUUUUCUAACAACACUGGCACAGAUGGCCAAGCAUUCUCCCUUUUCUCAGAGCUGGUUUUCCAUCCCGGAAAGAGGUCUUACAUAUACAAAGUUACUCUAAUCAGUUGUGUGAGUUUUCUCUUCUCUAACUGAUAGGGUUCUGCACAGGGAUUAUAUUAAUGCUUAUAGUGUCCAAAAGGCUAUAGCUCACCUCUGGACUCUUGAGAGUUCUCAAGGGAUCCUGCUGAGCUCUCAGACCUUUUUAAUGCUAUUCAAUAUAAUAGAAAAGUUGCAAAAUUGGAAGGAAUCUGAGAAAGGCUAAUUUACAAUGGAAAGGACAGCAUUAAAAGGCACAAACUCCAAUAUCUACAGGGGCCAGGUCUAUAUUAUAAAUAGUAAAAUUGGCCACAAAUAAACAAUAGGGAAUGUAAACACUGGCAAACUAGAGAGAUGUCAUAUUUGAAGAAGGCAGUCACUAUUCACUGCUAGCCAGUUGUAAAAUGAAGGCAACAUUUUGCCAAACCUUCAAACUUGUUAAGAGAUUUCUCGACACAAAUCAGAUACAGAUUUUUAUGUUUCAUUUGCCAACUUGUAAAUGUUGACAACUAAUUAAAUUUGCUUGUAAAACACCGUAUUAAAUUAAAUGCACACAUAGGCCA
Molecule: long non-coding RNA, 718 nt
Filed under: Homo sapiens (human)
Lineage: Eukaryota; Metazoa; Chordata; Mammalia; Primates; Hominidae
Description: non-protein coding lnc-FTCDNL1-4:41
Source: RNAcentral